UUUUAAAAUAUAAUAUGACCCACAUUCUAAAUUUUUUUUUAUCCCUAAUUUACCCUUAUGCCCUAAAUAUAACCUCUAUUACGUUCUUCAAUCCAGAUCUGUUUCUCUUUUUCAAUUCUUUUUUUCCUUUUCUCGAUUCUUUUCUCUCGCUGCUCUCUCUCUCUCUCUCAAUUAUGGUGGGAUGGCUAUUAGGACUACAUUGUUAUGGAGGUUGUCAUCGGACUGGUCACCGAGGCGUUUUUUAGAUCGAAUCUUGAUGUGGGUGGUGAUGGUUCUGGUUGGUGGCGGCGGUGGCGGUUCUAGUUUCUGGUGGCGGUGGCGGCGGCGGCGGUUCUAGUUUCUGGCGGCGGCGGCGGCGGAUCUGGUUGCUGGCGGCGGCGACGGCGGAUCUGGUUGCUAGCGGCGAUGGCGACGGCGGUGGUUCUGGUAGUUGAGGGCGGCGACGGCGGAUCUGGUUCAACUAAUCAUAUUUUUCUUUUUUUGUCUCUUUCGAGAGGUCUCUCGCCGCUCUCUCUCCCUCUCGCUCUAUCUAUCUCUCUCUCGCUCACUCAAUUAUGGUGGCUAUAGUGGGUGGCUGUCGGAGAGAAUUACAGAUCUGCAAAUUGCAGCGGGUAUAUUAUGGAGGAAACUUGUGAAGGAAGAGAGAGAUUGAGGGGGGGCCAGGAUCCUGGGAUGGAAGAUGAAGCGGCGUUUGGACAGGUGAUUGGGGCGGAGGAGUUGGUGUUUGAUGAUCGGAGAGAGUGAAAGCAGUAAUGGUUUUGCUGUAAGAAUGGUUGUCCGGUGGGGGUAGAGUGAUUAUCACCACUGUACCUGUAAGUUGAGGAUUAGACCCCUCCUCCAUCACAUUUCAAAGCUAGUGUGUGUGUGUGUGUGUGUGUGUGUGUGUGUGUGUGUGAAUUCCUUCUCUCUCUCACACCUGUGCGUUCAGGAGGAAGAAGGAGAAUAUGAAUUGGACGACUCUCUCUAUUUGAUUUCCUUUCAUUCAAAGUCAACAAUGGAGAUGCAUAAUAAAACAUAAAAAAGAAAAAAAUAUGCAUAAACCCAUUCAGUGGACUAGUUGAGCAGAGGAUAUCCACCGUGUUUCGUGCCAUUUUCGUUUACAAGAUUACAAUAUACAGUAUUCAUUUGUUGGGUAAAGGUUAAUUUACGAAAAAAUACUUCUUGUUUGAAUUUUUUAAAUUUGUUGUCGGCUAGGUUCGGCGACGGCUGAGGGUUGUUUGCGGCUAGAGUUUGGAACAGUACACCGUAGUAAACUAUAGUACACCGUAGUAUACUAUUGCACAAAUAUGCUAUUGUAACCCGUAGUAUGCUACAGUACACCGUAGUAUACUAUAGUCUACUACAG
This 1345-nucleotide long non-coding RNA is filed under the name Erythranthe guttata (spotted monkey flower). RNAcentral's name for it is "long non-coding RNA (EGUT_LNC000143)". Lineage: Eukaryota; Viridiplantae; Streptophyta; Magnoliopsida; Lamiales; Phrymaceae. The record is from RNAcentral.